CCCUUAGAUGUUCUGGGCCGCACGCGUGCUACACUGAGUGGAUCAGCGGGUCAGGUUGCGCGAAAGCGUUUCCUAAUCUUUAAAUCCGCUCGUGAUGGGGAUUGACGGUUGCAAUUUUCUGUCAUGAACGAGGAAUACCUUGUAAGCGCGGGUCAUCAUCCCGCGCUGAAUACGUCCCUGCCCUUUGUACACACCGCCCGUCGCUCCUACCUAUUGAGUGGUCCGGUGAGGCUUUGGGAUCUGAGCGGAAAGAGCGUUUCGCUGUUUCUGCUCGGAAAACUCAGUCGAACCUUAUCAUUUAGAGGAAGGAGAAGUCGUAACA
This 322-nucleotide ribosomal RNA is filed under the name uncultured eukaryote. Its description in RNAcentral is "partial 18S ribosomal RNA". It matches the Rfam family "Eukaryotic small subunit ribosomal RNA", at positions 1470 to 1796 of the family's 1831-position model. The record is from RNAcentral.